GUAUUUUGCGAUUGAUCCACAGGAAAUAGACGCAGCUGCGUGGAUCGCCUUCUCCACCCCACAUACUGAAGCCAGAAUAAGCCACGACUUCGUGUGCUCCACGCGAGGGCCGCCUGACGCCAGAGUUUCUCCCGCAUCUGCCAUCAGAGGACCGUCGCCCUCAGGAGCCCGAGCUCCCGCGGUACUCUGGGAAGGCUUCAGAGCAGUAGUGCAUAGUGUAUGGAUACUACCCGCCCCCGAGCCUAGCAAAUUGCCUGGUGAGCGGCCAUCCUGGAUAAAUGGUGAAUGAUGACAUCCCAGUGGUCACUUCCACACACCACAGGUUUGACCCCUAAGUAUGUCUUCCAUAUGGGUUGUUUCAUAUGCGGUUAACACCCUGAUCAAUGCAGCUUUCCUGAUGGAAUCCAGCUGUGUUUUGGUGUCAACUCCCAUGAAAAAUUGGGUGUCUUAUUGCAUAACCAACACUGUUAAAUGGAGGAAGGUCAUAGGAAGAGGGAGCAUGUGUUUGUGGGAUAGGGAGUCCUCUUUAAGUGAGAAGCUUGGGAGGUUAGGAGUGGAAGGUUGUAGCUAGUUGAGGUGAAGAGUUUACAUGUUCUUUUUGGCUUUCUGGGGCUUAAGAAAAAAACCAGGAGAGAUAAAGGGACAAAAAAGGCCAGGCACUUAAGAAGAGUAAAGUGCUGGAGAAAAACUGUAAAAAAGGAAAACUUAAAUUAAAA
RNAcentral lists this long non-coding RNA (716 nucleotides) under Homo sapiens (human). RNAcentral describes it as "PREDICTED lncRNA (TCONS_00144237)". Lineage: Eukaryota; Metazoa; Chordata; Mammalia; Primates; Hominidae. The record is from RNAcentral.